This 564-nucleotide ribosomal RNA is filed under the name Fusarium equiseti. RNAcentral's name for it is "eukaryotic LSU rRNA". The stretch from base 206 to 359 matches the Rfam family "5.8S ribosomal RNA". The record is from RNAcentral. Lineage: Eukaryota; Fungi; Ascomycota; Sordariomycetes; Hypocreales; Nectriaceae.
UGGAAGUAAANNNUNNUAACAAGGUCUCCGUUGGUGAACCAGCGGAGGGAUCAUUACCGAGUUUACAACUCCCAAACCCCUGUGAACAUACCUAUACGUUGCCUCGGCGGAUCAGCCCGCGCCCCGUAAAAAGGGACGGCCCGCCCGAGGACCCCUAAACUCUGUUUUUAGUGGAACUUCUGAGUAAAACAAACAAAUAAAUCAAAACUUUCAACAACGGAUCUCUUGGUUCUGGCAUCGAUGAAGAACGCAGCAAAAUGCGAUAAGUAAUGUGAAUUGCAGAAUUCAGUGAAUCAUCGAAUCUUUGAACGCACAUUGCGCCCGCCAGUAUUCUGGCGGGCAUGCCUGUUCGAGCGUCAUUUCAACCCUCAAGCUCAGCUUGGUGUUGGGACUCGCGGUAACCCGCGUUCCCCAAAUCGAUUGGCGGUCACGUCGAGCUUCCAUAGCGUAGUAAUCAUACACCUCGUUACUGGUAAUCGUCGCGGCCACGCCGUAAAACCCCAACUUCUGAAUGUUGACCUCGGAUCAGGUAGGAAUACCCGCUGAACUUAAGCAUAUCAAUAG